CAAAAAUCUGAACCCUUAAAAAUUCCUACCAUUUUUUUUUUUAAGAGUAUGAUGUCGUUUAUGAAAAGACAGAUCUCAACAGAAACAAAUUCAGAGGAACUUGUACGUUUUCGAAAACAAUUGCAGGUUGCAGGUACCAAAAUUAUGAAAAGCGCUAACUUCCCUUCCUUAUUCCAACUACCCCCCUCCUUCUUGUAGCUAGUGGCGAGAAUGUAAGCUAUUGGCGUACUGCAAACCCAAAUGAAAAUUCUGACCAAUCACACGCAAUCGGAGUUCUGGUUGUAUUUUCUUUGUCUAACUGCGAACGUUUAAAAUUUUCAAGUGCUAUUUAGUUCUGUAUUAGAUUCAUCAUAGUGAACACCGAUUUGUAAGUACGAGCGGUAUUUUGAACUUUCAUAAUGGUGAGCCGCUUCUCAACCCAGAGAAAAUCAGUUCUGUAUUAAUAAUUUUCUAGGAUCUGCAAUCAAGAGUAAGGGAAGUUUCAUUGCAUCUCUCGGAAAAAGAUAGUGAUGUGAUUAGUAUAACAAUACUGUAUGACGGAAAAAAUGAAAAUUGCGAAGUGGACGACGAAUUAGUCAAAGUUAUAAAACAACUUCCUCACUUGUAUGAUGAAAAUCAUGACUUAUAUCAUAACAAAAGGAAAAAACGGAAAUCAUGGGUUGUCAUUUCCAAAUUAUUGAACCUUGAUGUCGCGACCGCUCGAUGUAGAUGGCAAGAACUUCUUGAUACUUUUAUACAGGAAUACACAGAUUUUCCCCCUCUUGGAAAACCUUUACAAAAAAAGAAGUCUCACGAGCUCACACUUUUUGAUAAAAUGUUGUGGUUGGUUCCAUACCUUCCUAAAUGUCUCGAGGCAUCAACUGCUACUACUAAAGUCGAAUUCGAAGAAAUAAAUCAUUUUGAAAAUAACGUUAGUACUGAAGAGAAACAAGUAAACAAUGUUGAAAUUUCAUUACCACCAGUGAGUGAUCAGUUUUUUAUGAUGGCAAUUGGGGAAGUUUUACAAGGUUUUUCCUCAGAAAAGAAACUUAAA
Long non-coding RNA from Zophobas morio, 1033 nucleotides. RefSeq lists it as uncharacterized. NCBI's taxonomy places the organism in Eukaryota, Metazoa, Arthropoda, Insecta, Coleoptera, Tenebrionidae. The record is from RefSeq and is a predicted model, not a curated record. The transcript is spliced from 3 exons.